AACGAACGCUGGCGGCAUGCCUAACACAUGCAAGUCGAACGAAGCCUUCGGGCUUAGUGGCGCACGGGUGCGUAACGCGUGGGAAUCUGCCCCUUGCUUCGGAAUAACAGUUAGAAAUGACUGCUAAUACCGGAUGAAGUCUUCGGACCAAAGAUUUAUCGGCAAGGGAUGAGCCCGCGUAGGAUUAGGUAGUUGGUGGGGUAAAGGCCUACCAAGCCGACGAUCCUUAGCUGGUCUGAGAGGAUGAUCAGCCACACUGGGACUGAGACACGGCCCAGACUCCUACGGGAGGCAGCAGUGGGGAAUAUUGGACAAUGGACGCAAGUCUGAUCCGGCAAUGCCGCGUGAGUGAUGAAGGCCUUAGGGUUGUAAAGCUCUUUUACCAGGGAUGAUAAUGACAGUACCUGGAGAAUAAGCUCCGGCUAACUCCGUG
RNAcentral lists this ribosomal RNA (433 nucleotides) under uncultured bacterium. Its description in RNAcentral is "partial 16S ribosomal RNA". It matches the Rfam family "Bacterial small subunit ribosomal RNA", at positions 29 to 507 of the family's 1533-position model. The record is from RNAcentral.